Molecule: long non-coding RNA, 474 nt
Filed under: Elaeis guineensis (African oil palm)
Lineage: Eukaryota; Viridiplantae; Streptophyta; Magnoliopsida; Arecales; Arecaceae
Description: long non-coding RNA (EGUI_LNC004142)
Source: RNAcentral
GCUGCAUGUACGAUAAUCAUAACCUUCUUUCUAACCAAUAAGGAUUGGAUCCUCAAGCUCUUGUCCCGUAUAGGUUGGUAGACCACCUCCCAGAAGAGCAAGUGAAGCCCAUUACUGCCUUGUCUAGAGCCUCACAAAAAAUUUCGAAAUUGUUGCUCCAAAUCUUUAAGACAAGAGCAUGGCACAAUAGUGUUCACCAAGAGGUAGAUCAGAAUGGGACUUAUGAUUAAUCUCACGAGAGUAGUCCUUCCCAUCAUUAAGAGGGCAUUGGCUUGCUGGCCCUCAAGAUGAUCUCAAAUCUGCUGCUCUAUGGGUCGAUAAUAAGCCCUCUGAAAUCUUCAUCCCAUGAUAGGAACCUCCGAUAGGUCAGCAUUCCAGUCUACUCAAAAAUCUCUAAUCUAUCUCGAAUCACCUACUUCAUUUGGACCUUCGUCUUGGGGCUAAAGGUGAUCAUAGGCUUCGCGAAUUCAUGAG